CCUACGGGGCGCAGCAGUGAGGAAUAUUGGUCAAUGGGCUUACGCCUGAACCAGCCAAGUCGCGUGAGGGAAGACUGCCCUAUGGGUUGUAAACCUCUUUUGUCAGGGAGCAACGCCGGCUACGUGUAGCCGGACUGAGAGUACCCGUAGAACAAGCAUCGGCUAACUCCGUGCCAGCAGCCGCGGUAAUACGGAGGAUGCGAGCGUUAUCCGGAUUUAUUGGGUUUAAAGGGUGCGCAGGCGGCACGGCAAGCCGGCGGUCAAAUCGCGGGGCUCAACCCCGCCCAGCCGUCGGAACUGCCGGG
Molecule: ribosomal RNA, 305 nt
Filed under: uncultured bacterium
Lineage: Bacteria
Description: bacterial SSU rRNA
Rfam family: Bacterial small subunit ribosomal RNA
Source: RNAcentral